AUUAGUUGGAACCGCAUGGUUCCAACUUGAAAGAUGGCUCUGCUAUCACUUUGGGAUGGACCCGCGCCGUAUUAGUUAGUUGGUGAGAUAAAAGCCCACCAAGACGAUGAUACGUAGCCGACCUGAGAGGGUAAUCGGCCACAUUGGGACUGAGACACGGCCCAGACUCCUACGGGAGGCAGCAGUAGGGAAUCUUCCACAAUGGACGAAAGUCUGAUGGAGCAACGCCGCGUGAGUGAUGAAGGUUUUCGGAUCGUAAAACUCUGUUGUUAAAGAAGAACAAGUGUUAGAGUAACUGUUAACACUUUGGCGGUAUUUAACCAGAAAGCCACGGGCUAACUACGUGCCAGCAGCCGCGGUAAUACGUAGGUGGCAAGCGUUGUCCGGAUUUAUUGGGCGUAAAGCGAGCGCAGCGGUUUUGUAAGUCUGCUGUGAGAGCCCUCAGCUCAACUGAGGAAGUGCAGUGGGAACUACAAAACUUGAGUACAGAAGAGGAAAGUGGGGACUCCCUGUGUAGCGGUGAGAUGCGUAGAUAUAUGGGGAGAACACCAGUGGUGGAAGGCCGGCUUUCUGGUCUGUUACUGGACGACUGCAGGCUUCCAAAACAUGGGGUAGCUGAACAAGAAUUAUAUACCCUGGGUAGUCCAUGCCGUAGACGAUGAAUACUACGUUGGUUGGAGGGGGUUUUCGCCCGUUCACUGGCGGCCAGCUCACACAUUAAGUAAUUGCUGCUCUGCGGGGGGUACGACUCGCAAAGGCUGGAAACUCAUACGUAUUGACUCGGAGGGCCCGCCACGCACAUGGUGUGAGCACGUGGUUAAUUACGAUGGCUAGGCGGAGAGCGUAUCAGCUCGUGUCAUCGUUCUGCCACGCCACAAGAGUGGGACGGUGCCCUUCCACGACUGGAAUGACAGUGGCAGGCAGGGUUGUCGUCAGCCUCAAGUCUGGAAAGUAGGGUGA
Molecule: ribosomal RNA, 960 nt
Filed under: Apilactobacillus kunkeei
Lineage: Bacteria; Bacillati; Bacillota; Bacilli; Lactobacillales; Lactobacillaceae
Description: bacterial SSU rRNA
Rfam family: Bacterial small subunit ribosomal RNA
Source: RNAcentral